CAGUCGCCGCGGUAAUACGUAGGGUGCGAGCGUUAAUCGGAAUUACUGGGCGUAAAGCGUGCGCAGGCGGUUCAUUAAGAUAGAUGUGAAAUCCCCGGGCUUAACCUGGGAACUGCAUUUGUGACUGGCGAGCUAGAGUAUGGCAGUGGGGGGUAGAAUUCCACGUGUAGCAGUGAAAUGCGUAGAGAUGUGGAGGAAUACCGAUGGCGAAGGCAGCCCCCUGGGCCAAUACUGACGCUCAUGCACGAAAGCGUGGGGAGCAAACAGGAUUAGAUACCCCCGUAGUCCCUGUCUCUUAUAC
RNAcentral lists this ribosomal RNA (301 nucleotides) under uncultured bacterium. RNAcentral describes it as "partial 16S ribosomal RNA". It matches the Rfam family "Bacterial small subunit ribosomal RNA", at positions 509 to 807 of the family's 1533-position model. The record is from RNAcentral.